AAGGAAGAAGAUAUGACGGUACUUGAGGAAUAAGCCACGGCUAAUUCCGUGCCAGCAGCCGCGGUAAUACGGGAGUGGCAAGCGUUAUCCGGAAUUAUUGGGCGUAAAGCGUCCGCAGGCGGCUUUUCAAGUCUGCUGUUAAAGCGUGGAGCUUAACUCCAUCAUGGCAGUGGAAACUGAAAGGCUUGAGUAUGGUAGGGGCAGAGGGAAUUCCCGGUGUAGCGGUGAAAUGCGUAGAUAUCGGGAAGAACACCAGUGGCGAAGGCGCUCUGCUGGGCCAUUACUGACGCUCAUGGACGAAAGCCAGGGGAGCGAAAGGGAUUAGAUACCCCUGUAGUCCUGGCCGUAAACGAUGAACACUAGGUGUCGGGGGAAUCGACCCCUUCGGUGUCGUAGCUAACGCGUUAAGUGUUCCGCCUGGGGAGUACGCACGCAAGUGUGAAACUCAAAGGAAUUGACGGGGGCCCGCACAAGCGGUGGAGUAUGUGGUUUAAUUCGAUGCAACGCGAAGAACCUUACCAGGGUUUGACAUCCUGCGAACCUCUUAGAAAUUUGAGGGUGCCUUCGGGAAUGCAGUGACAGGUGGUGCAUGGCUGUCGUCAGCUCGUGUCGUGAGAUGUUGGGUUAAGUCCCGCAACGAGCGCAACCCACGUUUUUAGUUGCCAGCAUUUAGUUGGGCACUCUAGAAAGACCGCCGGUGAUAAACCGGAGGAAGGUGUGGAUGACGUCAAGUCAUCAUGCCCCUUACACCCUGGGCUACACACGUACUACAAUGCUACGGACAAAGGGCAGCAAACUCGCGAGAGCUAGCAAAUCCCAUAAACCGUGGCUCAGUCAGAUCGU
RNAcentral lists this ribosomal RNA (843 nucleotides) under marine metagenome. Its description in RNAcentral is "bacterial SSU rRNA". It matches the Rfam family "Bacterial small subunit ribosomal RNA", at positions 441 to 1301 of the family's 1533-position model. The record is from RNAcentral.